UACAGAGACGGCAAGCGUUGUUCGGAUUCAUUGGGCGUAAAGGGUCCGCAGGCGGUCAGCCAAGUCUAGUGUGAAAGCUCGCAGCCUAACUGCGAAAUUGCGCCGGAUACUAGCUGACUUGAGGACUGGAGAGGAGACUGGAAUUGUCGGUGUAGCGGUGAAAUGCGUAGAGAUCGACAAGAACACCGGUGGCGAAGGCGGGUCUCUGGACAGUUCCUGACGCUCAGGGACGAAAGCUAGGGGAGCAAACGGG
RNAcentral lists this ribosomal RNA (253 nucleotides) under uncultured bacterium. RNAcentral's name for it is "partial 16S ribosomal RNA". It matches the Rfam family "Bacterial small subunit ribosomal RNA", at positions 524 to 776 of the family's 1533-position model. The record is from RNAcentral.